RNAcentral lists this ribosomal RNA (254 nucleotides) under uncultured bacterium. RNAcentral's name for it is "partial 16S ribosomal RNA". It matches the Rfam family "Bacterial small subunit ribosomal RNA", at positions 524 to 776 of the family's 1533-position model. The record is from RNAcentral.
UACGGGGGGAGCAAGCGUUGUUCGGAUUUACUGGGCGUAAAGGGCGCGUAGGCGGUCAGCACAAGUCAGUUGUGAAAUCUCCGGGCUUAACUCGGAAAGGUCAACUGAUACUGUGCGACUAGAGUGCGGAAGGGGCAACUGGAAUUCUCGGUGUAGCGGUGAAAUGCGUAGAUAUCGAGAGGAACACCUGCGGCGAAGGCGGGGUGCUGGGCCGACACUGACGCUGAUGCGCGAAAGCCAGGGGAGCGAACGGG